Long non-coding RNA from Heterocephalus glaber (naked mole-rat), 2195 nucleotides. The record is from Ensembl. Lineage: Eukaryota; Metazoa; Chordata; Mammalia; Rodentia; Bathyergidae.
CGGGCCGGCUUGAUGACUUUUUAUUUCCAGCAUACAAAUGUUUGAUUUAAAUUGAUCUCAAAGUUGCUUAACAGGGUAAGAUCUCCAAACAGGUACUGGAGAUUGAACCCAGGACUUUUGGACUGAGGUACAUUCCCCAGCCCUUUUUGUUAUUACAGUAUUUAUUUAUUCACUUGCUCAUUUAUUUAUGUGGUGUUGGGGAUUGAACUCAGGGUCUCACACAUACUAGGUAAGUGCUCUACCACAGAACUGCAUCCAUUUUUAUUUUGAGAAAGAAUCUUGCUAAAUUGCCCAGGCUGGGCUGGAACUCAUCCGAUCCUCCUCUCAAUCUCCCAGAAUGCUGGUAUUACAGGCAUACACUACCACAUCUAGCUGAGCAGUCAUACAACUCUUUUCCCAAAACAAAAUAAAAAAUACCGUGUUUUAGAAACCAUUGCUGUUGGGGUAUGAUAAUCUGCUUAAUUUGUAAUACUAGAGGUUGAAGCCAGGGCUCCAUGCAUGUUAGGGAAGUACGUACUCUGCUCAGAAGUAUAUCCCUAGCCUUUUUAAAUUUUGAGACAGUGACUCACUAAAUUUCCCAAAAUAGUCUUGAACUUGGAAUUUUCCUGCCUCAACCUGAGUAGCUGGGAUUACAGACAUUGGCCACUGUUCUUGGCUUAUAUUUGUAUUUUUUAAUUCAGCUUUUCUUCACAUGCUAUCACUAAAGACAGCAUUUGUCAUGGGGGGGGGUACGUGGGAUCGCACUUGAGACCUUGCACUUGUGCGGCAGGCAUGGCACCACUGAGCUAAAUCCCUGGCCCCUUUUUUUGGUUGAUAGUGUUGCCAGAUAGUCCAGGCUGGCCUCAAAUCUCAUUGCCUAAACUUCCUGAGUGCUGGGAUUACAGGUAGGUGCCACCUUGCCCAGCUUGUUCUAGUUAUUGUGCUAUUUCAACUAGACAGACGCUGAAUCAACCUGAAAUGUUUAUCUAACACUCCCAACAGGGACUGUUAUAUUUUGAAAAAUAUAUUUGACCCAGUUGUGUUUGUGCUUUAUAAACAUUUUUUCCUGCUCCCCCUCAGUCUUAGACCUUGAACACCCCCACCACUACCACCACCACCUCCACAACCACGCAUGGUAUUGAGGAUUGAAUCCAGUGACUCACAGAUGCUAGGCAAGCAUUCUGCCACUGAUGUGCAUACAUUCCCAGACCCUUUUAAAUGUGAGAUAAGGUCUAAAUUGCUCAAGCUAGACUAAGGUUUUGAUGCUACCUCGCCCUCUGGAGUAGCUGAGAAUAUAAGCAUACACCAUGGCAUCUUGUGAGAAAUUAUAAUUUUAAGGAUUAUAAAAGUAUUUCUUAAUACUUCAUUUUAAACUAAUUUUGUCUCUGGCAGUGGGAUCAGAAUACAGGCAUUAAUUUGUGUAUAUGUGUGGUGCUGGGGAUUGAACCCACAGCCUUUGCACUGAGCUACAUCCCCAGCCCUUUUAUUUAUUUUGAGACACAGUCUUGCAAAGUUGCUGAGUUGCCCAGGUUAGCACAAACAUGCAGUCCUCCUGCCUCAGCCUCCCAGAGUGCUGCAAUUACAAGAAUGCACUGCCACGCCUGGCAUAACGGCAGUGAUUAUUUGUAAUACAAUAAUUUGUCUUAUAUUUCAGCUGGGCCUGGUGGCAAGGACUGUGAUCUUAGUACUCAAAGCUGAGGCAGGAGGAUCACCAUAAGUUUGAGGCCAGCUUGGGCCACAUAGUUCAAGAACAGCUUGAACUACAUCAUGAGACCCUGUCUCAAAAAAACAAAAACAAAAAAAGUCUUAGCCCAGUGUAGUGGUGCACACAUGUAAUUCCAGCACAUGGGAUGCUGAGGCAGUAGGACUGAGUCCAAGCCAGCCUAGCCUAGUCAGUGAGUUCAAGGCUAGCCUAGACUAUAUAGCAAAACCCUGUCUCAAAAGUAACAAAACCCCAAAUAAUAAAGUCUUGAAAUUAAUUAAUUUUAUUUGAAAAAGAAAUUAACCCGGUGGUGCAAAAUUAAGUCCUAGGUUCCAAAUAAAAUUUCCAACAAGUUCAUUAUCUUUUAGCAGCUAUAAAAUAUUGGCUGCUAUACAAAAAUUAUUGGGCAUUACUUGCAGGGAAAAAGAAAACAAGCAGCUGCAUUGGUCAUAUUUAACUUUCUUUGCCCUUAAGCUAUCCUCUGUUAUUUUGAACAGUGAUAGGUAUACCACUG